Molecule: ribosomal RNA, 402 nt
Filed under: uncultured bacterium
Lineage: Bacteria
Description: bacterial SSU rRNA
Rfam family: Bacterial small subunit ribosomal RNA
Source: RNAcentral
UUUUGGACAAUGGGCGCAAGCCUGAUCCAGCAAUGCCGCGUGAGUGAAGAAGGCCUUCGGGUUGUAAAGCUCUUUUGUCAGGGAAGAAACGGUGAGCUCUAAUACAGUUUGCUAAUGACGGUACCUGAAGAAUAAGCACCGGCUAACUACGUGCCAGCAGCCGCGGUAAUACGUAGGGUGCAAGCGUUAAUCGGAAUUACUGGGCGUAAAGCGUGCGCAGGCGGUUAUGUAAGUCAGAUGUGAAAUCCCCGGGCUCAACCUGGGAAUGGCAUUUGAGACUGCAUGGCUAGAGUGUGUCAGAGGGGGGUAGAAUUCCACGUGUAGCAGUGAAAUGCGUAGAGAUGUGGAGGAAUACCGAUGGCGAAGGCAGCCCCCUGGGAUAACACUGACGCUCAUCACGAA